UUUGCGGGUUUUCACCUUGGCCUCUCCAUUUUCUUUUUCUUUUUCUUUUUCUUUUUUCUUCUUUCUUUUUCUCCUUUUUUUGACUUUGAUUUUUUCGAUUUUUUUAUUUUUUAUUUUUUAUUUUUUUCUCUCUUUUUUUCUUCUUCUUUUUCAAAAUAUUCUUUGAUUGCAUCUAAACUCACAGGAUUAGGCAUUUCCUUAUUAUCCUUUCUGAUCAAGAUUGACACUUUUCUAGAUAAGGCCAUCACACAAGGUCCUUUUCAACUUGACAUAAAGUCCUUUUUGUAUGGGAAUGAUCUUCCUCAAUACCAGGUCCCUCUUUAUGGAAUUCUCUAGGGCGAACAUUUUUU
This 350-nucleotide long non-coding RNA is filed under the name Gossypium raimondii (Peruvian cotton). RNAcentral's name for it is "long non-coding RNA (GRAI_LNC011190)". The record is from RNAcentral. Lineage: Eukaryota; Viridiplantae; Streptophyta; Magnoliopsida; Malvales; Malvaceae.